AACGGAUCAGAACCUGUGUGGAAAGGGGACAUCAGGCUUCCAGUCAGCUCCAAAGACCCCUCCUUUUAUGGAAAGGAAGAAUAAAACAUCUCCGCAGCUCACUGUGGCUUCAGGAGUCAGUUGAGGACAACACAAGAUAUGAAACAUGAGACUGGAAGAAUGAGUUGUUGGUUAAGAAGAAAAUAAAAAUAUGGUACCUGG
Long non-coding RNA from Symphalangus syndactylus (siamang), 201 nucleotides. RefSeq lists it as uncharacterized. Lineage: Eukaryota; Metazoa; Chordata; Mammalia; Primates; Hylobatidae. The record is from RefSeq and is a predicted model, not a curated record.